RNAcentral lists this ribosomal RNA (855 nucleotides) under uncultured Actinomycetes bacterium. RNAcentral's name for it is "bacterial SSU rRNA". It matches the Rfam family "Bacterial small subunit ribosomal RNA", at positions 28 to 897 of the family's 1533-position model. Lineage: Bacteria; Bacillati; Actinomycetota; Actinomycetes. The record is from RNAcentral.
GACGAACGCUGGCGGCGUGCUUAACACAUGCAAGUCGAGCGGUAAGGCCCUUUGGGGUACACGAGCGGCGAACGGGUGAGUAACACGUGGGUGACCUGCCCCCUUCUCUGGGAUAAGCCUGGGAAACUGGGUCUAAUACCGGAUAUGACUCAUGAUUGCAUGGUUGUGGGUGGAAAGAUUUUUUGGUGGGGGAUGGGCCCGCGGCCUAUCAGCUUGUUGGUGGGGUGAUGGCCUACCAAGGCGACGACGGGUAGCCGGCCUGAGAGGGCGACCGGCCACACUGGGACUGAGACACGGCCCAGACUCCUACGGGAGGCAGCAGUGGGGAAUAUUGCGCAAUGGGCGGAAGCCUGACGCAGCGACGCCGCGUGGGGGAUGACGGCCUUCGGGUUGUAAACCUCUUUCGGCCCCGACGAAGCGUGAGUGACGGUAGGGGUAGAAGAAGCACCGGCCAACUACGUGCCAGCAGCCGCGGUAAUACGUAGGGUGCGAGCGUUGUCCGGAAUUAUUGGGCGUAAAGAGCUCGUAGGCGGUCUGUCGCGUCGGUCGUGAAAACUUGGGGCUUAACCCUGAGCUUGCGGUCGAUACGGGCAUGACUGGAGUUCGGCAGGGGAGACUGGAAUUCCUGGUGUAGCGGUGAAAUGCGCAGAUAUCAGGAGGAACACCGGUGGCGAAGGCGGGUCUCUGGGCCGAUACUGACGCUGAGGAGCGAAAGCGUGGGGAGCGAACAGGAUUAGAUACCCUGGUAGUCCACGCCGUAAACGGUGGGCGCUAGGUGUGGGGGCCAUUCCACGGUCUCUGUGCCGUAGCUAACGCAUUAAGCGCCCCGCCUGGGGAGUACGGCCGCAAGGCUAA